GACGAACGCUGGCGGCGUGCUUAACACAUGCAAGUCGAACGGAAAGGCCCUGCUUUUGUGGGGUGCUCGAGUGGCGAACGGGUGAGUAACACGUGAGUAACCUGCCCUUGACUUUGGGAUAACUUCAGGAAACUGGGGCUAAUACCGGAUAGGAGCUCCUGCUGCAUGGUGGGGGUUGGAAAGUUUCGGCGGUUGGGGAUGGACUCGCGGCUUAUCAGCUUGUUGGUGGGGUAGUGGCUUACCAAGGCUUUGACGGGUAGCCGGCCUGCGAGGGUGACCGGCCACAUUGGGACUGAGAUACGGCCCAGACUCCUACGGGAGGCAGCAGUGGAGAAUAUUGCACAAUGGGCGGAAGCCUGAUGCAGCAACGCCGCGUGCGGGAUGACGGCCUUCGGGCUGUAAACCGCUUUCGCCUGUGACGAAGCGUGAGUGACGGUAAUGGGUAAAGAAGCACCGGCUAACUACGUG
RNAcentral lists this ribosomal RNA (468 nucleotides) under uncultured bacterium. RNAcentral describes it as "partial 16S ribosomal RNA". It matches the Rfam family "Bacterial small subunit ribosomal RNA", at positions 28 to 507 of the family's 1533-position model. The record is from RNAcentral.